This 165-nucleotide ribosomal RNA is filed under the name Prunus takesimensis. RNAcentral describes it as "5.8S ribosomal RNA". Lineage: Eukaryota; Viridiplantae; Streptophyta; Magnoliopsida; Rosales; Rosaceae. The record is from RNAcentral.
AACGACUCUCGGCAACGGAUAUCUCGGCUCUCGCAUCGAUGAAGAACGUAGCGAAAUGCGAUACUUGGUGUGAAUUGCAGAAUCCCGUGAACCAUCGAGUCUUUGAACGCAAKUUGCGCCCGAAGCCWUUAGGCCGAGGGCACGCCUGCCUGGGCGUCACACGUC